This 400-nucleotide ribosomal RNA is filed under the name uncultured bacterium. RNAcentral describes it as "bacterial SSU rRNA". It matches the Rfam family "Bacterial small subunit ribosomal RNA", at positions 135 to 518 of the family's 1533-position model. The record is from RNAcentral.
AGGGGGGAUAACAUCCGGAAACGGGUGCUAAUACCGCAUAGUUUUCUUGAUCGCAUGAUUGAGAAGGAAAGACGGCCUUUGUGCUGUCGCUUAUGGAUGGACCCGCGGCGGUAUUAGUUAGUUGGUGAGGUAAUGGCUCACCAAGACGAUGAUACGUAGCCGACCUGAGAGGGUGAUCGGCCACAUUGGGACUGAGACACGGCCCAAACUCCUACGGGAGGCAGCAGUAGGGAAUCUUCCGCAAUGGACGAAAGUCUGACGGAGCAACGCCGCGUGAGUGAAAAGAAGGUUUUCGGAUCGUAAAACUCUGUUGUCAGAGAAGAACAAGUUGGAGAGUAACUGCUCCAGCCUUGACGGUAUCUGACCAGAAAGCCACGGCUAACUACGUGCCAGCCGCCGC